CUGUAGUCAUAUGCUUGUCUCAAAGAUUAAGCCAUGCAUGUCUAAGUAUAAGCAACUUGUACUGUGAAACUGCGAAUGGCUCAUUAAAUCAGUUAUCGUUUAUUUGAUAGUACCUUACUACAUGGAUACCUGUGGUAAUUCUAGAGCUAAUACAUGCUAAAAACCCCGACUUCAGGAAGGGGUGUAUUUAUUAGAUAAAAAACCAACGCCCUUCGGGGCUCCUUGGUGAAUCAUAAUAACUUAACGAAUCGCAUGGCCUUGCGCCGGCGAUGGUUCAUUCAAAUUUCUGCCCUAUCAACUUUCGAUGGUAGGAUAGUGGCCUACCAUGGUGGCAACGGGUAACGGGGAAUUAGGGUUCGAUUCCGGAGAGGGAGCCUGAGAAACGGCUACCACAUCCAAGGGAAGGCAGCAGGCGCGCAAAUUACCCAAUCCCGAUACGGGGAGGUAGUGACAAUAAAUACUGAUACGGGGCUCUUUUGGGUCUCGUAAUUGGAAUGAGAACAAUUUAAAUCCCUUAACGAGGAACAAUUGGAGGGCAAGUCUGGUGCCAGCAGCCGCGGUAAUUCCAGCUCCAAUAGCGUAUAUUAAAGUUGUUGCAGUUAAAAAGCUCGUAGUUGAACCUGGGGUCUGGCUGGCCGGUCCGCCUCACCGCGAGUACUG
This 660-nucleotide ribosomal RNA is filed under the name Penicillium commune. RNAcentral's name for it is "SSU rRNA". It matches the Rfam family "Eukaryotic small subunit ribosomal RNA", at positions 18 to 679 of the family's 1831-position model. The record is from RNAcentral. Lineage: Eukaryota; Fungi; Ascomycota; Eurotiomycetes; Eurotiales; Aspergillaceae.